GCCUUCGUGGUAUAGUGGUUAGCACGCUCGCGCGUAUUUGAGAGGUCCAAGGUUCGAAUCCCGGCGAGGGCA
RNAcentral lists this transfer RNA (72 nucleotides) under Stegodyphus mimosarum. It matches the Rfam family "tRNA". Rfam says of the family: Transfer RNA (tRNA) molecules are approximately 80 nucleotides in length. Their secondary structure includes four short double-helical elements and three loops (D, anti-codon, and T loops). Further hydrogen bonds mediate the characteristic L-shaped molecular structure. tRNAs have two regions of fundamental functional importance: the anti-codon, which is responsible for specific mRNA codon recognition, and the 3' end, to which the tRNAs corresponding amino acid is attached (by aminoacyl-tRNA synthetases). tRNAs cope with the degeneracy of the genetic code in two manners: having more than one tRNA (with a specific anti-codon) for a particular amino acid; and 'wobble' base-pairing, i.e. permitting non-standard base-pairing at the 3rd anti-codon position. The record is from Rfam by way of RNAcentral. Lineage: Eukaryota; Metazoa; Arthropoda; Arachnida; Araneae; Eresidae.